GAUGAACGCUGGCGGCGUGCCUAAUACAUGCAAGUCGAACGCAGUGGGGACGGGUGAGUAACACGUGGGUAACCUCCCAUCAGAGGGGAUAACACUUGGAAACAGGUGCUAAACCGAUCCUGAUGGAUGGACCCGCGGUGCAUUAAUUAGUUGGUGAGGUAACGGCGCACUAGGGCCAAGACGCAUAGCCGACCUGAGAGGGUGAUCGGCCACACUGGGACUGAGACACGGCCCAGACUCCUACGGAGGGCAGCAGUAGGGAAUCUUCGGCAAUGGACGAAAGUCUGACCGAGCAACGCCGCGUGAGUGAAGAAGGUUUUCGGAUCGUAAAGCUCUGUUGUUUGAGAAGCGGUAUCUAACCAGAAAGCCACGGCUAACUACGUGCCAGCAGCCGCGGUAAUUCC
RNAcentral lists this ribosomal RNA (404 nucleotides) under uncultured bacterium. RNAcentral's name for it is "partial 16S ribosomal RNA". It matches the Rfam family "Bacterial small subunit ribosomal RNA", at positions 28 to 527 of the family's 1533-position model. The record is from RNAcentral.